This 312-nucleotide unclassified non-coding RNA is filed under the name plant metagenome. Its description in RNAcentral is "partial contains 5.8S ribosomal RNA, internal transcribed spacer 2, and large subunit ribosomal RNA". The stretch from base 1 to 107 matches the Rfam family "5.8S ribosomal RNA", at positions 48 to 154 of the family's 154-position model. The record is from RNAcentral.
GCGAAAUGCGAUAAGUAGUGUGAAUUGCAGAAUUCAGUGAAUCAUCGAAUCUUUGAACGCACAUUGCGCCCCUUGGUAUUCCAUGGGGCAUGCCUGUUCGAGCGUCAUUUGUACCCUCAAGCUCUGCUUGGUGUUGGGUGUUUGUCCCCGUCUCCGCGCGUGGACUCGCCCCAAAGUGAUUGGCAGCCGGCGUACUGGUCCCGGAGCGCAGCACAUGUCGCGCAAACGAGUGCCUUGGUACGGCGGCGUCCAUAAGCCCCUCUCUCACGCUCUUGACCUCGGAUCAGGUAGGGAUACCCGCUGAACUUAAGC